CCACCCGAGACUCAGUGAAAUUGAACUCGCUGUGAAGAUGCAGUGUACCCGCGGCAAGACGGAAAGACCCCGUGAACCUUUACUAUAGCUUGACACUGAACAUUGAGCCUUGAUGUGUAGGAUAGGUGGGAGGCUUUGAAGUGUGGACGCCAGUCUGCAUGGAGCCGACCUUGAAAUACCACCCUUUAAUGUUUGAUGUUCUAACGUUGGCCCGUAAUCCGGGUUGCGGACAGUGUCUGGUGGGUAGUUUGACUGGGGCGGUCUCCUCCUAAAGAGUAACGGAGGAGCACGAAGGUUGGCUAAUCCUGGUCGGACAUCAGGAGGUUAGUGCAAUGGCAUAAGCCAGCUUGACUGCGAGCGUGACGGCGCGAGCAGGUGCGAAAGCAGGUCAUAGUGAUCCGGUGGUUCUGAAUGGAAGGGCCAUCGCUCAACGGAUAAAAGGUACUCCGGGGAUAACAGGCUGAUACCGCCCAAGAGUUCAUAUCGACGGCGGUGUUUGGCACCUCGAUGUCGGCUCAUCACAUCCUGGGGCUGAAGUAGGUCCCAAGGGUAUGGCUGUUCGCCAUUUAAAGUGGUACGCGAGCUGGGUUUAGAACGUCGUGAGACAGUUCGGUCCCUAUCUGCCGUGGGCGCUGGAGAACUGAGGGGGGCUGCUCCUAGUACGAGAGGACCGGAGUGGACGCAUCACUGGUGUUCGGGUUGUCAUGCCAAUGGCACUGCCCGGUAGCUAAAUGCGGAAGAGAUAAGUGCUGAAAGCAUCUAAGCACGAAACUUGC
This 776-nucleotide ribosomal RNA is filed under the name Escherichia coli. Its description in RNAcentral is "partial 23S ribosomal RNA". It matches the Rfam family "Bacterial large subunit ribosomal RNA", at positions 2022 to 2797 of the family's 2925-position model. The record is from RNAcentral. Lineage: Bacteria; Pseudomonadati; Pseudomonadota; Gammaproteobacteria; Enterobacterales; Enterobacteriaceae.